Molecule: unclassified non-coding RNA, 687 nt
Filed under: Athalia rosae (coleseed sawfly)
Lineage: Eukaryota; Metazoa; Arthropoda; Insecta; Hymenoptera; Athaliidae
Description: misc RNA ENSAEAG00005012506.1
Source: RNAcentral
GCAAAAUUUCGCCUCCUACAGCGUAACUACGUUACCCAAGUGAGGGGCCAGUAUAAUUGUGUUAGAUGAACUUAUGGAAGAUGUAAAAUGCAAACUCCAGUUGAGAAUGCAUGGAAAAGCAAUUUAGAUAUUAUUGGAUCAUAUUUUUGACUUAUAUAAAUUGAGAAUUUGUUGUCAGAAUUUGAAUAGUUUGAAAAAUUUUAUAACUCACUUCACCUUAACGCGCAGGGCUUCAACUCUUUCUUCCGGCAUCUGUCUGUUGCGACACUCAGACCGUGCCCCACAUAACCAAACAAAAUGCCACGUGAAAUCAAGGAAAUCAAGGACUUUCUUCUAAAAGCCAGAAGAAAGGAUGCCAAGUCUGUUAAAAUAAAGAAGAAUGCCGAGAAUGUGAAGUUCAAAGUACGUUGCUCUCGAUUUCUCUAUACUCUUGUUAUCACCGACAAAGAAAAGGCAGAGAAACUUAAGCAGUCGUUACCGCCAGGUCUUCAAGUCAAAGAAGUGAAGUAACAUGCGAUACACGUGUCACGUGAAAUAAAAAAUUCUGUAUAAAACUCAUUCAGUUUGUUUCCACCAUUAUUAAAAUCUCCUUCUUUACCUGCUCCUUGACUAUUUCAAUCCCCAAAGCUACACAAAUUUAGUUAUUUUAGUCGAUCUGCGACAGUUAACUACAUACUAUUGGUUCUA